AUCUGUGAUUGCACGCGUGCUCUGUCUCAGAAAGGAGGAUGUGAAGACUCUGCAAGUAGAGCUGCAUAGAACAAGAGAGCAAUGCCAUGCAGGGUGGUCAAAAUGUCAAGCCAAGUUUGGCAUUAGCACUGCACAGCAUAUGUUGUGCUAUCUACAGAAGAAUUGGUGCAGAAAAAAGAUUAGGCCUUAGUGCCAUGAUGGGGCCGUGUGCUAAAUUAUUGCAGAGAAGCUUGAUUAAUGAUGAGGUUGAUGCUAUGCCUACCUAGAUCACAUAUAUUUAUAAAUUGUUAUUUGCCUUGUUCAUGAUAGCAGAGCUGCUGGCUUGUAGGGUGAUAGCAAAUCAAAUCUGGAUAGAUCUUUGGUGGUGCUGAAUUAGUACAUAUGACAAAAUUUGUCUAGUCUGGAUGUCUGAAUCUGCCUACAAAAUUAUGGCAAAAUCUGUCUAAUCUGCGUGUCUGAAUCUCGCCAGGUCGGCCAUGUACUUGGUUACUUUACCUUAUGCCUAAUGAAAUAGUAGAUCAGUAUUCUAAUAAUAUGUCAACAGUUUUUUUCUUGGUUUGGACUUUGGAGUAACACUUGAACUAGUAGUCACUGGUUUCCUCUGCUUGAUAUUCCAUCUUUUUUGAGACUGCAAAUAGCAUGCCAAACUGGAGCAGCACUGCCUCCCUGCAAACAGAGAGAAAAAUUGCAGCUACGCAAGCUUAGUUGCACCCCUGAAUCUCCUGGCAAACACUGAACUUGUUUUUUCAGACGAACAGAA
Molecule: long non-coding RNA, 760 nt
Filed under: Triticum aestivum (bread wheat)
Lineage: Eukaryota; Viridiplantae; Streptophyta; Magnoliopsida; Poales; Poaceae
Description: long non-coding RNA (TAES_LNC018566)
Source: RNAcentral